RNAcentral lists this transfer RNA (71 nucleotides) under Marmota monax (woodchuck). RNAcentral describes it as "tRNA.Ala". The record is from RNAcentral. Lineage: Eukaryota; Metazoa; Chordata; Mammalia; Rodentia; Sciuridae.
GGGGUUGUGGCUCAGUGGUAGAGUGCUUGCCUAGCAUAUAUGGGGCACUGGGUUCGAUCCUCAGCACCACA